Molecule: ribosomal RNA, 484 nt
Filed under: uncultured bacterium
Lineage: Bacteria
Description: partial 16S ribosomal RNA
Rfam family: Bacterial small subunit ribosomal RNA
Source: RNAcentral
AUUGAACGCUGGCGGCAGGCCUAACACAUGCAAGUCGAGCGGAUGAAGGGAGCUUGCUCCUGGAUUCAGCGGCGGACGGGUGAGUAAUGCCUAGGAAUCUGCCUGGUAGUGGGGGAUAACGUCCGGAAACGGGCGCUAAUACCGCAUACGUCCUGAGGGAGAAAGUGGGGGAUCUUCGGACCUCACGCUAUCAGAUGAGCCUAGGUCGGAUUAGCUAGUUGGUGGGGUAAAGGCCUACCAAGGCGACGAUCCGUAACUGGUCUGAGAGGAUGAUCAGUCACACUGGAACUGAGACACGGUCCAGACUCCUACGGGAGGCAGCAGUGGGGAAUAUUGGACAAUGGGCGAAAGCCUGAUGAAGCAAGGCCGCGUGUGUGAAGAAGGUCUUCGGAUUGUAAAGCACUUUAAGUUGGGAGGAAGGGCAGUAAGUUAAUACCUUGCUGUUUUGACGUUACCAACAGAAUAAGCACCGGCUAACUUCGUG